CCUACGGGAGGCAGCAGUGAGGAAUAUUGGUCAAUGGGCGGGAGCCUGAACCAGCCAAGUCGCGUGAGGGAAGACGGUCCUAUGGAUUGUAAACCUCUUUAGGCGGGGAGCAAUGCCGGGCACGCGUGCACGGAGGGAGAGUACCCGCAGAAUAAGCAUCGGCGAACUCCGUGCCAGCAGCCGCGGUAAUACGGAGGAUGGGAGCGUUAUCCGGAUUUAUUGGGUUUAAAGGGUGCGUAGGCGGAUUGUGAGGUCAGCGGUAAAAUGACGGGGCUCAACCCGGGCCGGCCGUUGAAACUGGGGAUCUUGAGUGGGCGAGAGGGAUGCGGAAUGCGGGGUGUAGGGGGGAAAUGCAUAGAUA
RNAcentral lists this ribosomal RNA (361 nucleotides) under uncultured bacterium. RNAcentral describes it as "partial 16S ribosomal RNA". It matches the Rfam family "Bacterial small subunit ribosomal RNA", at positions 338 to 696 of the family's 1533-position model. The record is from RNAcentral.